AGAAGAGAUCAUAAAGUUAUUACCACAGCCAAUGGAGUGUUUGCUAUUGGAGGAAGUAUUGUUACAGCAAAGGUAGAACAGCUUGAUUUAGACACUUUGACCUGGAGUGUCGUUUCAGACAUUUGGACAGGUUUCAGGCAAGGAGUGGUUGCUGUUCCAGAUGGGGAUUUUUGAACACAAGCUAUUCUUAUAACUCAUAUAAAGGAAACAAGAUAUUGAAGAUUCUCACUGACUUUUCUAGAAAAGAAUUUUUGCAUUUUAUAGAAUAAAAUUGCUUGCUUAGACAAAUCCUGAUUCAUAUUCAUGGAUUUGUUAUUUAUGUAUUUACGUAAUUUAUCUAAAUAAAAUGUGU
Molecule: long non-coding RNA, 352 nt
Organism: Eurytemora carolleeae
Lineage: Eukaryota; Metazoa; Arthropoda; Copepoda; Calanoida; Temoridae
Exons: 3
Source: RefSeq, a predicted model, not a curated record